UAAACCCUAGAUAUUCCUUAAAUAAAACAGUUUCUUUUAAAGAUAAAUUUAUUAAUUCAUUUCAUGAAUGAGAAUGUACAAUUUAAAAAAAAAAAAAACCACUUGUAGACAGUGAAGGACAAGCUCUAUCAAUACAAUAAAAGUUUUAACCUUAGCAUCAAAUGAACGUUAUGGCACGUUGACAAUUAGCUCUAUCACAAUUCAAGUACAGCAUAUUUAGAGUGGUUGCAAGCACUUAAUACAUUAAUGAAAUCAGCUUUAGAUGGCCCAAAAUGAUAGGGUAAAAUUGACAAAAGAACCAAGCAUCCAUCAAACUGGAACCGCUUGUAAAAGAAAGAUGACAUGUGUAAUGGGCCAAAUCCGUCCAGGCCCAAUUAAACCCAAAAUGCCCCAAGCCCAAAAAAAACCCUAGCCAAAUACAUUAAAAAAAUCAGAAAAAAAGAAACAAAAAAAAAACCUAAGUUCAGCCGCCGUACCAUCGCCCAUACCUUCUGCCUUCAACCACUCUCUGCCAUCCUUGCAAAACAGACCAAAGAAGAGCAGAUAAACACAACACGCAAACAGUAGCAGAAACAUUUUUUUUAAUAUUUGUAAUCGGCUUUAAAAGGCCGAAUAAUGAAUGUAAAAGGGGGGCUCUUUUCAAAAUUCAAAAAACGAAGAAAUUAAUCAAAAAGAGACCAAGAAUUUCGAAAGGUUUUUUAUCCUUUUUAUUUUUUAUUUUUGAUAAAAUAAAUAAAUAAGCAAAACAUACCUGUUGUCUUGUUUUCUCACCACGGUUAAAGGCCGUCGCCGGCGUUUUGAUGCCACAAACCCGUUGGGUUCCCAACGAGGGUUUAAAAGAGGGAAAAUAGGAUCUGAAAUAACCCUUUUUUCUUCCCUUUUAUUUUUGAUUUUUGGUUUUAAAAAAGGAGAUAGAGAUCAAAUAAGGGCGGAAGAGACUUAUCUUAGUAGUAACUCCUUCGAGUCCUUGCUUGCUUCGUCGUUAUCGAAGCCUAGGCGAAGAUUCGGAGGCUCAGGAGCACGACCCUCGGAUUCGUGGUCGAACAGGGCUAGAUUUGGCCUUCGCUUGAUGACCGUCGGCCGAAUACGGAGGCAAAACAACAAUUGAAGUCUUUCUUUUUUUUCGGCCGAAUGAGAGGGGAGGCGGCUAAGUUUUGGUGUUGAUUUCAAAUGACUGAGCAUUAGUUUAGGGUUUCUUUUAAUUUUAUUUUUAUAAAGAGUAAAACGGCACCGUUUGAGGGGGACACUUAAAUACGUUGGGUAAAUUGCACAGUCGGUCCCUCCCUAUUUUGUCGUCAUCUGAUUGAGUCUCAUUUAUGUUUCUUUUGUUUUUUUUUUAAUUCUUUCCUAAAAGCUGUUUUGAUUUGAUCCAUGUUUACAUGGGCCGUUCAGAAACUUGGAAUAAUUGCGUUUUUAAUACCCGCACAUUCAUGCCCAUCACACUUUGGUCCUUAUUUUUAUUUAAUGGUUUAUUUUAUUUAGUUUGGGUCUGUUUUAAUUAAGUUUUUUUAUUUCAAUAGGCAUAAUACUCUAGUUCUUUAACUUAUUUAACAUUUUUAAUUAUUUAAAUAUACAUCCGGAAUUAUUUUGGUGGUUGUGCCUUGCUUUAAUUCAUUUUUUUACUGUUUAAUGACAUUUUUCUAUAUCAUAUUGUUAAAAUAUUGUGUAACAUUUAAUUAUUUUUUUUAUAUCAUUGUAUAUAUAUAGUUUAUAUUAAAAUUGGUUUUACCCAUUUUCAUGCUGUUUCAUGUAUAUGUUUUCUUCUGAAUCUAUAUAUAUAUAUAUAUACAUUUUCUUUUAAAUCUAUUUAUGUAUAUAUUAUUUCUUCUUAAAUCAUCAUACGUAGUAUUUAUUUCGAGAUUCUUAUACGUAUUUUGGUAUCUUAGAUUAUUACAUGUAUAUAUAUAUUUAUUUUAAACAUUUUUCUAUGCAUUAUCUUACAUCAAAUUUCUCUUUUCACAUUAUUCUUUCUAAAUUUUUUUAUAUGUCAUUUGAGUUAAACUCUAUU
Molecule: long non-coding RNA, 2008 nt
Filed under: Gossypium barbadense (sea-island cotton)
Lineage: Eukaryota; Viridiplantae; Streptophyta; Magnoliopsida; Malvales; Malvaceae
Description: long non-coding RNA (GBAR_LNC006204)
Source: RNAcentral